Molecule: ribosomal RNA, 254 nt
Filed under: uncultured bacterium
Lineage: Bacteria
Description: partial 16S ribosomal RNA
Rfam family: Bacterial small subunit ribosomal RNA
Source: RNAcentral
UACGGGGGGAGCAAGCGUUGUUCGGAUUUACUGGGCGUAAAGGGCGCGUAGGCGGUCAGCACAAGUCAGUUGUGAAAUCUCCGGGCUUAACUCGGAAAGGUCAACUGAUACUGUGCGACUAGAGUGCGGAAGGGGCAACUGGAAUUCUCGGUGUAGCGGUGAAAUGCGUAGAUAUCGAGAGGAACACCUGCGGCGAAGGCGGGUUGCUGGGCCGACACUGACGCUGAUGCGCGAAAGCGUGGGGAGCAAACGGG